GACGAACCGUGCGAACGUUGUUCGGAAUCACUGGGCUUAAAGGGCUCGUAGGCGGCCAACUAAGUCGGAUGUGAAAUCCCCAGGCUUAACCUGGGAACUGCAUCCGAUACUGGAUGGCUUGAAUCCGGGAGAGGGAUGCGGAAUUCCAGGUGUAGCGGUGAAAUGCGUAGAUAUCUGGAGGAACACCGGUGGCGAAGGCGGCAUCCUGGACCGGCAUUGACGCUGAGGAGCGAAAGCCAGGGGAGCAAACGGG
RNAcentral lists this ribosomal RNA (253 nucleotides) under uncultured bacterium. RNAcentral's name for it is "partial 16S ribosomal RNA". It matches the Rfam family "Bacterial small subunit ribosomal RNA", at positions 524 to 776 of the family's 1533-position model. The record is from RNAcentral.